Molecule: ribosomal RNA, 492 nt
Filed under: uncultured bacterium
Lineage: Bacteria
Description: partial 16S ribosomal RNA
Rfam family: Bacterial small subunit ribosomal RNA
Source: RNAcentral
AGUGAACGCUGGCGGUAGGCCUAACACAUGCAAGUCGAACGGCAGCACAGUAAGAGCUUGCUCUUACGGGUGGCGAGUGGCGGACGGUUGAGGAAUACAUCGGAAUCUACUUUUUCGUGGGGGAUAACGUAGGGAAACUUACGCUAAUACCGCAUACGACCUACGGGUGAAAGCAGGGGAUCUUCGGACCUUGCGCGAUUGAAUGAGCCGAUGUCGGAUUAGCUAGUUGGCGGGGUAAAGGCCCACCAAGGCGACGAUCCGUAGCUGGUCUGAGAGGAUGAUCAGCCACACUGGAACUGAGACACGGUACAGACUCCUACGGGAGGCAGCAGCGGGGAAUAUUGGACAAUGGGGGCAUGCCUGAUCCAGCCAUACCGCGUGGGUGAAGAAGGCCUUCGGGUUGUAAAGCCCUUUUGUUGGGAAAGAAAAGCAGCAGGUUAAUACCCCGCUGUUCUGACGGUACCCAAAGAAUAAGCACCGGCUAACUUCGUG